ACAGCUAUCGGUUGCUGAAGCUGUUGUUAGUACCCCUUCUCCGUUGGUGUGUCUGGCAUUUUGUUGUCGUUUUUCAUAAAAUCAUUCCUUCCGAUAAUAUCACAUAACGCGUCGGCUACGCAUCUACCGAAGGCAGAAAACGAAGUUCGGUACGGGAAGCCUGGCCUGAAACCGUCUCUGAGCGAAGGGACUUUCCUCGGUUAUAUCUGACUCCGGUAGAACUAAUUCCGUUGCCACCGCCGCCGCCGCCGCCGUGGAGGUCAAAGCCAACGAUAUGCAUGUAGCACCAGAACGAUACACAGCAGCGGCAACGAGCACAAGUUACCGUCUAAACGGCAAGAAACGGAGAAAAAGCAAGCGGGAGACGACGGAAAAGCCGCCAGAAUUGCGCAACCCUUCAUCGUCACAUGCUGAGAUUGCUAUUGCAGCUAGCACCGCGUUGGCGAGGUCGUCUUUAACAUUUUUCGCCGAUUUCGACCCCCCGUAACCAUCCGGGCUGGGCUGCGAGAGCGUCCAGCUCGAAAAGGCAAUCGCUACCGGUAUCAGACGCGUCGAGUAUUUGAGAUGGUUGUCGAAUCGAGCCGGUCAAAGCAAUGCGAUGCGGCGUAAGGUAGGGCUCAGUCGGAAGUGACCAGUUUCGCCGUUGUUGCUUUUGUUAUUUAUACUGCUAUUUCUACUGUCGCUAUACUUGUCAAUUACUGCAAGUUUGUGAUGUAUGUAUGUAACAGUGACCACGUCCAAUACCAAACAAGGAACAAAGCAGCUCGUAGUGGAAAGACGAACGACAGAGCGAUCGACGGAACCUAAAACAUCUUCGCGUUUCGCUUCGUAUUGAACCGUGUGUCCGAACCACCUCAGACGACAUAUCUGUAGUAAAUAAUCUGGCAACGCUGUUGACUACAAGGAACUUUCGGUGACAUUAUCGGAAGAAUUCUCGGUGCCACUGUCAUCUCCAACUACUUUUUGAUCGACUUCAAAAAUGAAAUCUACUAACAACAAUAGGCGCAGCGGAGAAAGCGGCCGCAGAGGAAAUUGGUGGAAAAAUUGAAAAAUACGAAGCUGAAUUUUCACGGUUUGGUCGUUGUCAUAGUUUGCUAAAUCAGUCGUCGGAAUGGUCUUCUCUGCCCCGUCUUUGACCAUCUUCCUACAGACUUUAGUUGCCGCUGCAAGAAAAAAAACCGUCAUCCUCAGUUUGAGGAGCACUAGCAAAAUCAUUAUCUGGCUGUCUGCAAAACGGUUGUCGUCGUUACACGCAACGAAGCCGCCGUUGAAACGGAAAGCAACAAUGACAACAACAAAUAGAGUUAAAUAGCAGACGUCGCGAUAGCCAUGGCAUCGCCCCAGAACGACACGAGAGCAAGAUCAAUUGGGUUGUCAUUAUGGAUUUCCACAGCGAUACACGGAGAGAACACUUGCACGAAACGAGAGGAGAAAAAGCAGACUGACAGCAAGUCCCGUAGCAAGGACCACACCGACAUUCAUCUGGAGUCGAAUAAAGAUACUGUGUAUCAUUUAUAGAGCGGCCCACAAAGCAGAGCUGUCAGUUGACCGGAGUUAAAAUGACGAGUGAACAAAAUAUUUCAACGGCUCUUCAUUUUCCCACUGGGUCUGUCGGGUUCGUAUUCAGCUCCCUCCGUUUAUUUAAUCUCUCCUUCUCAAUGUUGGUCUCCCUUCGCCAUCGUUUGCCAACUCUCAGAACACAUAAAUGCUAUCAUAACCAUGAUGAUUAUUACUGCUACAAUUAUUGAGAUUUUUAUGCUUUCUAUGUUUUAGGCUGAUUUUGUGUUUUCGGGUCUAUACGCUACUACCGUUCAUUUUGAGCUGGGCGUCUGUUGGUAGCUUCGCUAUCACGAAGUCGUUUUAGGGGUACCAUUGCCCUGACAUGAGUUUUUGAGUAGUUUAGGACCGCUGGAGCGUCCGAGAGCCGCCAGCAACACUAUCAACAUCAUCAUUAACAAGAAGCGCGAUGGUAAGGCAGCGACGAUGCGAGACAGAUUGAUGGUAGACACUGCGAAGAAGCCGCAAUAUAAGCUAUUUGAAUGUUUACUCGCUUGGUUCGUUGACGUCCCACGUGUUUUUAUGUAUACGGCCAUUCCGUCCUGUCGGCGACUUUUCCGCCGUAUCUGUCCACAGAAAGGUGGUCUCGCCUAACUGGUACCGUGGUGCCUGGUAUGCAAUACCGUACAAACUUCAAUCUUUAUUUCGAAAUCAAUAAAAGGUAGAAAUAGUGGCGCGAGCCUACGCAUAGGCAGUACGCUAAUAUCAUGGCGGCGUCCAGUUUUGCUGUGAACAAUCUGAAUCCGGUCUAACAACAAUUCACAGAAACUGCAGUCCAAUCCAGAUCCGACAAAUGACCAAUUCCGUUGACAGCGAGGCGAAACAGCCAGCUUAAAUUGUCCCUUUUGCCGCAUAUGAACGUCGCCGCUGGUUGCAAAAUACAGGCGUCAUUGAUGCUUAUGUUUAUGUCUAUCGUAAACUGUGUGUAUAUUCUUUUCCUGCGAAAUAACAACAAUAACGCAAGAGCCGGCCACAAUUGACUAGGUAGAAGAUAAAAGCAGUAAAAAAGCAGUUACACCCAACUGGAAACCGCUGUCGUCACCAACAAUUUUAAUCGUUCGUCUUUUUCUUGUGUCGAUCCCAUCUUCAUGAUGGGACGGGAGCAAGAAAAUGUCCAUACGACUUUUGGUUUUCUUUAUGUCUACGCCGCUGUCUCUCAACUCCAUGUCCUAUUAUUGGCCUGCCUGUUUAACCGCCCUCUGAUCUGGUUCGUGGCUAUCAUCGAACUUCAACUCUGCCAUAUAAUCAUAGCUAUACACAGAACGAUUUUAUGAGCGCACAAACUCUAAAUGAGCUUCGUUGC
Molecule: long non-coding RNA, 2860 nt
Filed under: Varroa destructor (honeybee mite)
Lineage: Eukaryota; Metazoa; Arthropoda; Arachnida; Mesostigmata; Varroidae
Description: uncharacterized LOC111247825
Source: RNAcentral